AAUUAAUGAGCUUGUUUAUAAGCAUUUGUUUUGAAAACAUAAGAAAGAAUUUUAAUAUUCUAUUAAUUU
RNAcentral lists this transfer RNA (69 nucleotides) under Marumba cristata. RNAcentral describes it as "tRNA-Ser". The record is from RNAcentral. Lineage: Eukaryota; Metazoa; Arthropoda; Insecta; Lepidoptera; Sphingidae.